UGUCAAACAAGACACAGCGCACGCAGCUUCUCCGAGGAAAGCCAUGUUCAGUUACACAGAGAGCUCCAAAGAAGACAGAGAAAGCCAGAGUCUUGUACCUUGUGUUUAUCAGUAUAUUUAUGUUUGCUGGGUGAAAAAGAAAAACUGGAUAAACAAAGUAAAAAAUAAUUCAGGUCACUUCACUUUCACUUUCACUGUUUAUGUUUAUAUAGUCCUUUUCUAGGCACUCAAAGUGCUUUACAUUGUUAGAGGGGAUUUCCACAUUCAUCACCAGAUGUGAAAACAUCAUCACCACACAGUUGUUUUUAUUCUUGCUGACUCAGUGCAGAAGAGGCGUCACGUCUGUGUAUUGGUGUGUUUAAAACUCAGACACAACAGCAGAGAUCUCAGAGCUGCAGUGAAGGUUUUAGUUUCAGCUCAUCACAAGAUAAUGAAAGAAAAUUUAAGAGAAAUUCAUUCAUGGCAGAAGAUCAGUGGAGCAUCACAAACUGCAGAAGAAUUAAACAGAGAGAAAAAUGGCAAAGAAAGAGGAUGAGAGACAAUCUGAUGAACCAGGAGAGAAAAAGAGCCUGGAACGAGUCAGACGGAGCAGUAUUAACAGUGGAAGACCAAACUUUUCUGAAGAUUCAGACAGUUUUAUUCAGAGAGACUCUCAGAUGAGACAGGAGCAGCUCCUUUCACAGCACCUGCAGAAUAUACUUUAUAUUCAGUCUCUGAUCAAAUACUGUAUAUUUUACAUUGUUUGUUGUAUUUUAGUGUCAUUCUAUAUUCAGAAUAUUAUAGAUCUAUAUAAUCAACCAAUAUAAAUUAAUAUAAACUUCAUUAACAUCAUUGUAAACAAUAUGUAUAUAUUCUUUUUUUAAGUUAAUAUUAUUUUUGAAAUUUACGAGCAGUCUCUCAGUGUUUUACUGUAUGAUGCUGUACAUAACACAAACAAUUAUUUCUGUACAUGUUUCUAAAUACUAUUACAUUUACAUUUAGACAAAAAUAUGUAUAUGUUUGUUAACAAAAUAUGUAUAUUGUAUUAAACAAAUUUUGUAAGUUUACUGCAGUGAAUCUGAACAAC
Molecule: long non-coding RNA, 1066 nt
Organism: Onychostoma macrolepis
Lineage: Eukaryota; Metazoa; Chordata; Actinopteri; Cypriniformes; Cyprinidae
Exons: 5
Source: RefSeq, a predicted model, not a curated record